AGCGUACACGGUGGAUGCCCUGGCAGUCAGAGGCGAUGAAGGACGUGCUAAUCUGCGAUAAGCGUCGGUAAGGUGAUAUGAACCGUUAUAACCGGCGAUUUCCGAAUGGGGAAACCCAGUGUGAUUCGUCACACUAUCAUUAACUGAAUCCAUAGGUUAAUGAGGCGAACCGGGGGAACUGAAACAUCUAAGUACCCCGAGGAAAAGAAAUCAACCGAGAUUCCCCCAGUAGCGGCGAGCGAACGGGGAGCAGCCCAGAGCCUGAAUCAGUAUGUGUGUUAGUGGAAGCGUCUGGAAAGGCGUGCGAUACAGGGUGACAGCCCCGUACACAAAAAUGCACAUGCUGUGAGCUCGAUGAGUAGGGCGGGACACGUGGUAUCCUGUCUGAAUAUGGGGGGACCAUCCUCCAAGGCUAAAUACUCCUGACUGACCGAUAGUGAACCAGUACCGUGAGGGAAAGGCGAAAAGAACCCCGGCGAGGGGAGUGAAAAAGAACCUGAAACCGUGUACGUACAAGCAGUGGGAGCCUCUUUAAUGGGGUGACUGCGUACCUUUUGUAUAAUGGGUCAGCGACUUAUAUUCUGUAGCAAGGUUAACCGAAUAGGGGAGCCGAAGGGAAACCGAGUCUUAACUGGGCGUUAAGUUGCAGGGUAUAGACCCGAAACCCGGUGAUCUAGCCAUGGGCAGGUUGAAGGUUGGGUAACACUAACUGGAGGACCGAACCGACUAAUGUUGAAAAAUUAGCGGAUGACUUGUGGCUGGGGGUGAAAGGCCAAUCAAACCGGGAGAUAGCUGGUUCUCCCCGAAAGCUAUUUAGGUAGCGCCUCGUGAAUUCAUCUCCGGGGGUAGAGCACUGUUUCGGCAAGGGGGUCAUCCCGACUUACCAACCCGAUGCAAACUGCGAAUACCGGAGAAUGUUAUCACGGGAGACACACGGCGGGUGCUAACGUCCGUCGUGAAGAGGGAAACAACCCAGACCGCCAGCUAAGGUCCCAAAGUCAUGGUUAAGUGGGAAACGAUGUGGGAAGGCCCAGACAGCCAGGAUGUUGGCUUAGAAGCAGCCAUCAUUUAAAGAAAGCGUAAUAGCUCACUGGUCGAGUCGGCCUGCGCGGAAGAUGUAACGGGGCUAAACCAUGCACCGAAGCUGCGGCAGCGACACUAUGUGUUGUUGGGUAGGGGAGCGUUCUGUAAGCCGUUGAAGGUGUGCUGUGAGGCAUGCUGGAGGUAUCAGAAGUGCGAAUGCUGACAUAAGUAACGAUAAAGCGGGUGAAAAGCCCGCUCGCCGGAAGACCAAGGGUUCCUGUCCAACGUUAAUCGGGGCAGGGUGAGUCGACCCCUAAGGCGAGGCCGAAAGGCGUAGUCGAUGGGAAACAGGUUAAUAUUCCUGUACUUGGUGUUACUGCGAAGGGGGGACGGAGAAGGCUAUGUUGGCCGGGCGACGGUUGUCCCGGUUUAAGCGUGUAGGCUGAUUUUCCAGGCAAAUCCGGAGAAUCAAGGCUGAGGCGUGAUGACGAGGCACUACGGUGCUGAAGCAACAAAUGCCCUGCUUCCAGGAAAAGCCUCUAAGCAUCAGGUAACAUCAAAUCGUACCCCAAACCGACACAGGUGGUCAGGUAGAGAAUACCAAGGCGCUUGAGAGAACUCGGGUGAAGGAACUAGGCAAAAUGGUGCCGUAACUUCGGGAGAAGGCACGCUGAUAUGUAGGUGAAGCGACUUGCUCGUGGAGCUGAAAUCAGUCGAAGAUACCAGCUGGCUGCAACUGUUUAUUAAAAACACAGCACUGUGCAAACACGAAAGUGGACGUAUACGGUGUGACGCCUGCCCGGUGCCGGAAGGUUAAUUGAUGGGGUCAGCCGCAAGGCGAAGCUCUUGAUCGAAGCCCCGGUAAACGGCGGCCGUAACUAUAACGGUCCUAAGGUAGCGAAAUUCCUUGUCGGGUAAGUUCCGACCUGCACGAAUGGCGUAAUGAUGGCCAGGCUGUCUCCACCCGAGACUCAGUGAAAUUGAACUCGCUGUGAAGAUGCAGUGUACCCGCGGCAAGACGGAAAGACCCCGUGAACCUUUACUAUAGCUUGACACUGAACAUUGAGCCUUGAUGUGUAGGAUAGGUGGGAGGCUUUGAAGUGUGGACGCCAGUCUGCAUGGAGCCGACCUUGAAAUACCACCCUUUAAUGUUUGAUGUUCUAACGUGGACCCGUGAUCCGGGUUGCGGACAGUGUCUGGUGGGUAGUUUGACUGGGGCGGUCUCCUCCUAAAGAGUAACGGAGGAGCACGAAGGUUGGCUAAUCCUGGUCGGACAUCAGGAGGUUAGUGCAAUGGCAUAAGCCAGCUUGACUGCGAGCGUGACGGCGCGAGCAGGUGCGAAAGCAGGUCAUAGUGAUCCGGUGGUUCUGAAUGGAAGGGCCAUCGCUCAACGGAUAAAAGGUACUCCGGGGAUAACAGGCUGAUACCGCCCAAGAGUUCAUAUCGACGGCGGUGUUUGGCACCUCGAUGUCGGCUCAUCACAUCCUGGGGCUGAAGUAGGUCCCAAGGGUAUGGCUGUUCGCCAUUUAAAGUGGUACGCGAGCUGGGUUUAGAACGUCGUGAGACAGUUCGGUCCCUAUCUGCCGUGGGCGCUGGAGAACUGAGGGGGGCUGCUCCUAGUACGAGAGGACCGGAGUGGACGCAUCACUGGUGUUCGGGUUGUCAUGCCAAUGGCACUGCCCGGUAGCUAAAUGCGGAAGAGAUAAGUGCUGAAAGCAUCUAAGCACGAAACUUGCCCCGAGAUGAGUUCU
RNAcentral lists this ribosomal RNA (2774 nucleotides) under Escherichia coli. RNAcentral's name for it is "bacterial LSU rRNA". It matches the Rfam family "Bacterial large subunit ribosomal RNA". Lineage: Bacteria; Pseudomonadati; Pseudomonadota; Gammaproteobacteria; Enterobacterales; Enterobacteriaceae. The record is from RNAcentral.